This 334-nucleotide unclassified non-coding RNA is filed under the name soil metagenome. RNAcentral's name for it is "partial contains 5.8S ribosomal RNA, internal transcribed spacer 2, and large subunit ribosomal RNA". The stretch from base 1 to 120 matches the Rfam family "5.8S ribosomal RNA", at positions 35 to 154 of the family's 154-position model. The record is from RNAcentral.
GAUGAAGAACGUAGCGAAAUGCGAUAAGUAAUGUGAAUUGCAGAAUUCAGUGAAUCAUCGAACCUUUGAACGCACAUUGCGCCCGCCAGUAUUCUGGCGGGCAUGCCUGUUCGAGCGUCAUUUCAACCAUCAAGCCCCCGGCUUGUGUUGGGGACCUGCGGCUGCCGCAGGCCCUGAAAACCAGUGGCGGGCUCGCUAGUCACUCCGAGCGUAGUAAUACAUCUCGCUCAGGGCGUGCUGCGGGUUCCGGCCGUUAAAAGCCUUAUUUACCCAAGGUUGACCUCGGAUCAGGUAGGAAGACCCGCUGAACUUAAGCAUAUCAAUAAGCGGAGGA